AAACCAACAGGGAUUGCCUCAGUAACGGCGAGUGAAGCGGCAAAAAGCUCAAAUUUGAAAUCUAACACUUUCAGUGUUCGAGUUGUAAUUUGAAGAAAGUUUCUCUGAGUAGUCCUUUAUCUAUGUUCCUUGGAACAGGACGUCAUAGAGGGUGAGAAUCCCGUAUGAUUUUGGAUACUAUUCUUUGUGAGAUUCUUUCGAAGAGUCGAGUUGUUUGGGAAUGCAGCUCUAAGUGGGUGGUAAAUUCCAUCUAAAGCUAAAUAUUGGCGAGAGACCGAUAGCGAACAAGUACAGUGAUGGAAAGAUGAAAAGAACUCUGAAGAGAGAGUGAAAAAGUACGUGAAAUUGCUGAAAGGGAAGGGCUUUAGGUCAGACUUGGUGUUUAAAUGAUUAUCUUCUCUUUUUGAGUUGUGCACUCGUUUUCACUGGGCCAAUAUCAGUUUUGUGGUAGAGCACCUACUGGAAUGUAGCUUUUCUCGGAUGAGUGUUAUAGCCUUUAGACGAUCUU
RNAcentral lists this ribosomal RNA (508 nucleotides) under uncultured Candida. RNAcentral's name for it is "eukaryotic LSU rRNA". It matches the Rfam family "Eukaryotic large subunit ribosomal RNA", at positions 62 to 567 of the family's 3401-position model. Lineage: Eukaryota; Fungi; Ascomycota; Saccharomycetes; Saccharomycetales. The record is from RNAcentral.